Molecule: ribosomal RNA, 270 nt
Filed under: uncultured archaeon
Lineage: Archaea
Description: partial 16S ribosomal RNA
Rfam family: Archaeal small subunit ribosomal RNA
Source: RNAcentral
CAGCGCCACGAGUGGGGAUCAUGAUUAUUGGGCUUAAAGCGUCCGUAGCCGGCUUAGCAAGUUUCCUGUUAAACCCAGCGACUCAAUCGUUGGAUCGCGGGAAAUACUACUAGGCUAGGAGGCGGGAGAGGUCAACGGUACUUCUGGGGUAGGGGUGAAAUCCUAUAAUCCCGGGAGGACCACCAGUGGCGAAGGCUGUUGACUAGAACGCGCUCGACGGUGAGGGACGAAAGCUGGGGGAGCGAACCGGAUUAGAUACCCGAGUAGUCC